AAAUUAUCAUGAUGUAACUUGUUAAAAACAAGUUUCAAGGAAAAGAAAUAGAAAAGUUGUGUCAGGUAUAGGGAAUAGAGAGAGAAUAUUUAUUCUCCCCUAUAAAUUGUUAGCUUUCCAACAGGGCCUAGUAAACAGAGAGGAGGGUACUAAGUUCAGCUGUACAAGGACAGAAGUUUGAUCUUUAUCAGACUGACGUGGGCAGAGGUGCCUCAACAUAUCCUGCUGAAUCUGAUCUUCUCCUUCAUUUUUUGAAAUCACAGAGAGGUCUGGGAUUUAAAUGAUGGUUCUGCUGCACCUGUUCAGUCUCUUACUCCUAGAGCAAGCAUUCAUCGGAUACUGCUUAGAGUCACAAGAAAAUGAACAGCAACCACUGAUAGGUUCUGCCAUUCCUUGCCAGGGUUCUUGGAUAGCUGGAUUGCAUGGAAGAGAUGGACGAGAUGGGAGGGAUGGACUCAAGGGAGAAAAGGGAGACCCAGGUGAAAUACCUAGCUGCCCCCAGGUACAUUCACCACAGUUUGGACAUCCAGGAAUUCCAGGUCCACCAGGACUUCCAGGCAUCCAGGGCAGGAAAGGAGAACCAGGCGGUAAGGAAUUCUAUUCCUUCUAUCUUUUUUUUAUUAUAGCUUUUUAUUUACGAGUUAUAUGCAUGGGUAAUUUUUCAGCAUUGAAAAUUGCCAAAUCUUUUGUUCCAAUUUUUCCCUCCUUCCCCUAUCCCCUCCCCCUGAUGGCAGGUUGACCAACACAUGUUAAAUAUGUUAAAGUAUAAAUUAAAUACAAUAUAUGUAUACAUGUCCAAACGGUUAUUUUGCUGUACAAAAAGAAUUGGACUUUGAAAUAAUGUACAAUUCACCUGUGAAGGAAAUAAAAAAUGCAGGUGGACAAAAAUAGAGGGUUGGAAAUUCUAUGUAGUGUUUCAUAGUCAUCUCCCAGAAUUCUUUCACUGUGUGUAGCUGGUUCAAUUCAUUACUGCUCUAUUGGAACUGAUUUGGUUCAUCUCAUUGUUGAAGAUGGCCCGGUCCAUCAGAAUUGAUCAUCAUAUAGUAUUGUUGUUGAAGUAUAUAAUGAUCUCCUGGUCCUGCUUAUUUCACUCAGCAUCACUUCAUAUAAGUCUCUCCACGCCUUUCUGAAA
This 1132-nucleotide long non-coding RNA is filed under the name Sarcophilus harrisii (Tasmanian devil). RNAcentral's name for it is "lncRNA (ENSSHAG00000023984.1)". Lineage: Eukaryota; Metazoa; Chordata; Mammalia; Dasyuromorphia; Dasyuridae. The record is from RNAcentral.